GAUUAGCUGAACUGUGACCUGAAUGAAAGUGGCAACGAUCAUCUUAUCAGUCCCUCCUCUUAGCUUUCUUUAUACGGACCCAUCUUAUGUGCUUGGCGUAGGACAGCUUGCAAUAUGGCUGCUGUUUGAAAUGAAAAUCCUUCCUAGACUUGAACGGAUCCCAGUCCUGGGUGUGGCAUCUGGCAUCUUAAGUGGCCACCUGAAGAGCUGGAUGACACAGUCCAGAAGUGUGGUGUGCUAAUUCCCAUGGAACAAACUUUGAUCACUGGGAAACUGAAGAUGGGAGGGAGAAAAUGCUUCAUGUUUCCAGCAUUUGUUUGAGGAUCUAUGUCACAUCUCACAUCAAUUUUUGUUCAUGGAGUGAGGUAGGAGUUGAGGUUUACCUUUUUUCUUCAUAAG
Delphinapterus leucas (beluga whale) is the source of this 399-nucleotide non-coding RNA. The record is from RefSeq and is a predicted model, not a curated record. Lineage: Eukaryota; Metazoa; Chordata; Mammalia; Artiodactyla; Monodontidae.